RNAcentral lists this ribosomal RNA (182 nucleotides) under Yokenella regensburgei. Its description in RNAcentral is "partial 16S ribosomal RNA". It matches the Rfam family "Bacterial small subunit ribosomal RNA", at positions 70 to 251 of the family's 1533-position model. The record is from RNAcentral. Lineage: Bacteria; Pseudomonadati; Pseudomonadota; Gammaproteobacteria; Enterobacterales; Enterobacteriaceae.
UACCACAGAGAGCUUGCUCUCGUGUGACGAUUGGCGGACGGGUGAUAAUGUCUGGGAAACUGCCUGAUGGAGGGGGAUAACUACUGGAAACGGUAGCUAAUACCGCAUAACGUCGCAAGACCAAAGAGGGGGACCUUCGGGCCUCUUGUCAUCAGAUGUGCCCAGAUGGGAUUAGCUAGUAA